UGAAACAGUUCAGACUGGUGAUGAAGAGAUCAUUUAUGCUGAUCCGACAUUCUACAAACGAAAUGAAUGUAAAUUGAGAGCUACAGAGGAAAAUCAUGUGGAGUAUGCACCUAUCUGCAUAAGAAAAUGAAACUUUCUUUUUACAAAGUAUAUGCGUCCCUUUCAUUUGCCAUUUGGAUUUAGUAUGUGGUCUCUGAUCUUUAGAAGUCCUGAACAGCUUCCAAAGUUUGGGAUGGUUGAGAGUCCACAAAUGCUGACAUGACACAACAGUUGUAUAAUGUACAUACAUUAUAUGGUUCAUAACAUUCCCAGUGGGAGUGCCAGUUCAGUUUGAAAGCCUAUGGUAUUGUUCCCUUAAAUAUACACAUAUAUGUUGUUCGAUCUGUCUUUUGAACAGCAUGGCAUGAUAAAUGUUAGGAUAAAUGCAGAGCACAACUUCUGAGUAUAACGUCACGUCAUGGGCAUAACGCCUAUAACUUAACAUUUGCGGUUGAUGUGUAUGUGGAAGUGCAUGUGAGGUGUAAACAGUAUGUGGUUAAAAAAAAAUUUCCACUGCUGCUAAUGUGAAACUCACUAUCACAGCUUUCCAAAAGGCCGCCAAUGUUGGUGGUAAAAGUGAGCAAUUAAUUAAACGCGUGCAAAUUAAAGCCAUGCACACAAUGUUUAAAAUGCUAACAGUGUCCUUUAUUGUGCCUCAAUAAACAGUUUUGCCA
Long non-coding RNA from Labeo rohita (rohu), 713 nucleotides. RefSeq lists it as uncharacterized. NCBI's taxonomy places the organism in Eukaryota, Metazoa, Chordata, Actinopteri, Cypriniformes, Cyprinidae. The transcript is spliced from 2 exons. The record is from RefSeq and is a predicted model, not a curated record.